ACCGAUAGCGAACAAGUACCGUGAGGGAAAGAUGAAAAGAACUUUGAAAAGAGAGUUAAACAGUACGUGAAAUUGUUGAAAGGGAAACGAUUAAAGUCAGUCGUACCGACGGGGAAUCAACUUCUCGAGCGUGGUUUAGUGGGUUCAAAGUGCCUUUGUUCUCGCGAUAUCCGCGUUCUUUUGGUGCACUUUCUCGUAUUGUAGGUUAGCAUCGGUUUUGAUCGUCAUAAAAUG
This 234-nucleotide ribosomal RNA is filed under the name uncultured Glomus. RNAcentral describes it as "partial 25S ribosomal RNA". It matches the Rfam family "Eukaryotic large subunit ribosomal RNA", at positions 333 to 560 of the family's 3401-position model. The record is from RNAcentral. Lineage: Eukaryota; Fungi; Glomeromycota; Glomeromycetes; Glomerales; Glomeraceae.